This 179-nucleotide non-coding RNA is filed under the name Bacillus sp. (in: firmicutes). Its description in RNAcentral is "Bacillus sp. Lysine sequence". It matches the Rfam family "Lysine riboswitch aptamer". From Rfam's summary of the family: Riboswitches are metabolite binding domains within certain messenger RNAs that serve as precision sensors for their corresponding targets. RNAcentral also lists the same sequence under 1 other name. The record is from RNAcentral. Lineage: Bacteria; Bacillati; Bacillota; Bacilli; Caryophanales; Bacillaceae.
AGUGUUGAUAGAGGUGCGAGUUUCAUUAGUAAAGACUUGGAGAAGGAUGAGCUUCUGUGAAAAGUCUUGAAAGGGGAAGUCGCCGAAGCAAUCAAGUCUCAUAGCUUGAUUUUGCUGGUCUGACAUUGAAUAAAUGGCAGAUUGUCAGAACAAUUUUGUUCUGGAGGGCUAUCUCACUG